Long non-coding RNA from Cyprinodon variegatus (sheepshead minnow), 337 nucleotides. RefSeq lists it as uncharacterized. The transcript is spliced from 3 exons. The record is from RefSeq and is a predicted model, not a curated record. NCBI's taxonomy places the organism in Eukaryota, Metazoa, Chordata, Actinopteri, Cyprinodontiformes, Cyprinodontidae.
CAGUUUAGAGACACGUGCUUCCCCCUGCAGAUUUAUUUGCAUCACUAAUUGAGCUUGGGCCGCGACGCAGCAAGACAAACAGCCUUCGAUGUGCCCAUCCGAUAAGAGCACUGAGCUUGUCAUGCAGGAAUUCAUGAAGUAAGAGGAUAAAGCUGCAAGGCUACAGGAGCUGAGAGUGAGAGUGACAUUCACCAUAAAAACUGAAGAACGUCUGCCUUAUCAAAGCUUUCAGCAGUCAGCUCUGGAAGAUGGAGAGUCGGUGCCAGAUCCCCAGGAGCAGACUUGGUCCAUGAAAUGAACUCAGCAUGAGAGCAACAUGGGGUAACAACAGCUUCUG